CUUGAAUUUGAUCCUGGCUCAGAACGAACGCUUUCGGUAUGCUUAACACAUGCAAGUCGAACGGACUAAUUGGGGCUUGCUCCAAUUAGUUACUGGCAGACGGGUGAGUAACACGUGGGAGUCUACCCAUCAGUACGGAAUAACUUUUAGAAAUAAAAGCUAAUACCGUAUAUUCUCUACGGAGGAAAGAUUUAUCGCUGAUGGAUGAGCCCGCGUCAGAUUAGGUAGUUGGUGAGGUAAUGGCUCACCAAGCAGACGAUCUGUAGCUGGUUUGAGAGGAUGAUCAGCCACACUGGGAGUGAGACACGGCCCAGAUUCCUACGGGAGGCAGCAGUGGGGAAUAUUGGACAAUGGGCGAAAGCCUGAUCCAGCAAUACCGAGUGAGUGAUGAAGGCCUUAGGGUUGUAAAACUCUUUUAGCAAGGAAGAUAAUGACGUUACUUGCAGAAAAAGCCCCGGCUAACUCCGUGCCAGCAGCCGCGGUAAGGCGGGGGGGGCUAGCGUUGUUCGGAAUUACUGGGCGUAAAGAGUGCGUAGGCGGUUUAGUAAGUUGGAAGUGAAAGCCCGGGGCUUAACCUCGGAAUUGCUUUCGAAACUACUAAUCUAGAGUAUAGUAGGGGAUGAUGGAAUUCCUAGUGUAGAGGUGAAAUUCUUAGAUAUUAGGAGGAACACCGGUGGCGAAGGCGGUCAUCUGGGCUACUACUGACGCUAAUGCACGAAAGCGUGGGGAGCAAACAGGAUGAGAGACCCCUGGGAGUC
This 758-nucleotide ribosomal RNA is filed under the name uncultured bacterium. Its description in RNAcentral is "bacterial SSU rRNA". It matches the Rfam family "Bacterial small subunit ribosomal RNA", at positions 1 to 795 of the family's 1533-position model. The record is from RNAcentral.